This 1286-nucleotide ribosomal RNA is filed under the name metagenome. RNAcentral's name for it is "bacterial SSU rRNA". It matches the Rfam family "Bacterial small subunit ribosomal RNA", at positions 243 to 1520 of the family's 1533-position model. The record is from RNAcentral.
AGCUAGUUGGUGGGGUAAAAGCUCACCAAGGCGACGAUCUGUAGCGGGUCUGAGAGGAUGAUCCGCCACACUGGAACUGAGACACGGUCCAGACUCCUACGGGAGGCAGCAGUGGGGAAUUUUGGACAAUGGGGGCAACCCUGAUCCAGCCAUGCCGCGUGAGUGAAGAAGGCCUUCGGGUUGUAAAGCUCUUUCGGCCGGGAAGAAAUCGUAUCAGCUAAUACCUGGUGCGGAUGACGGUACCGGCAUAAGAAGCACCGGCUAACUACGUGCCAGCAGCCGCGGUAAUACGUAGGGUGCGAGCGUUAAUCGGAAUUACUGGGCGUAAAGCGUGCGCAGGCGGUUUUGUAAGACAGGCGUGAAAUCCCCGGGCUCAACCUGGGAACUGCGUUUGUGACUGCAAGGCUAGAGUACGGCAGAGGGGGGUGGAAUUCCACGUGUAGCAGUGAAAUGCGUAGAGAUGUGGAGGAACACCAAUGGCGAAGGCAGCCCCCUGGGUCGAUACUGACGCUCAUGCACGAAAGCGUGGGUAGCAAACAGGAUUAGAUACCCUGGUAGUCCACGCCCUAAACGAUGUCAACUAGGUGUUGGGAGGGUAAAACCUUUUAGUACCGGAGCUAACGCGUGAAGUUGACCGCCUGGGGAGUACGGCCGCAAGGUUAAAACUCAAAGGAAUUGACGGGGACCCGCACAAGCGGUGGAUGAUGUGGAUUAAUUCGAUGCAACGCGAAAAACCUUACCUACCCUUGACAUGUCAGGAACUUUCCAGAGAUGGAUUGGUGCUCGAAAGAGAACCUGAACACAGGUGCUUCAUGGCUGUCGUCAGCUCGUGUCGUGAGAUGUUGGGUUAAGUCCCGCAACGAGCGCAACCCUUGUCGUUAAUUGCCAUCAUUAAGUUGGGCACUUUAGCGAGACUGCCGGUGACAAACCGGAGGAAGGUGGGGAUGACGUCAAGUCCUCAUGGCCCUUAUGGGUAGGGCUUCACACGUCAUACAAUGGUCGGUACAAAGGGUCGCCAACCCGCGAGGGGGAGCUAAUCCCAGAAAGCCGAUCGUAGUCCGGAUUGCAGGCUGCAACUCGCCUGCAUGAAGUCGGAAUCGCUAGUAAUCGUGGAUCAGCAUGUCACGGUGAAUACGUUCCCGGGUCUUGUACACACCGCCCGUCACACCAUGGGAGCGGGUUCCGCCAGAAGUAGGUAGCCUAACCGCAAGGAGGGCGCUUACCACGGCGGGGUUCGUGACUGGGGUGAAGUCGUAACAAGGUAGCCGUAGGGGAACCUGCGGCUG